RNAcentral lists this ribosomal RNA (699 nucleotides) under Lactiplantibacillus plantarum. Its description in RNAcentral is "bacterial SSU rRNA". It matches the Rfam family "Bacterial small subunit ribosomal RNA", at positions 44 to 712 of the family's 1533-position model. The record is from RNAcentral. Lineage: Bacteria; Bacillati; Bacillota; Bacilli; Lactobacillales; Lactobacillaceae.
GUGCUAUACUGCAGUCGAACGAACUCUGGUAUUGAUUGGUGCUUGCAUCAUGAUUUACAUUUGAGUGAGUGGCGAACUGGUGAGUAACACGUGGGAAACCUGCCCAGAAGCGGGGGAUAACACCUGGAAACAGAUGCUAAUACCGCAUAACAACUUGGACCGCAUGGUCCGAGUUUGAAAGAUGGCUUCGGCUAUCACUUUUGGAUGGUCCCGCGGCGUAUUAGCUAGAUGGUGGGGUAACGGCUCACCAUGGCGAUGAUACGUAGCCGACCUGAGAGGGUAAUCGGCCACAUUGGGACUGAGACACGGCCCAAACUCCUACGGGAGGCAGCAGUAGGGAAUCUUCCACAAUGGACGAAAGUCUGAUGGAGCAACGCCGCGUGAGUGAAGAAGGGUUUCGGCUCGUAAAACUCUGUUGUUAAAGAAGAACAUAUCUGAGAGUAACUGUUCAGGUAUUGACGGUAUUUAACCAGAAAGCCACGGCUAACUACGUGCCAGCAGCCGCGGUAAUACGUAGGUGGCAAGCGUUGUCCGGAUUUAUUGGGCGUAAAGCGAGCGCAGGCGGUUUUUUAAGUCUGAUGUGAAAGCCUUCGGCUCAACCGAAGAAGUGCAUCGGAAACUGGGAAACUUGAGUGCAGAAGAGGACAGUGGAACUCCAUGUGUAGCGGUGAAAUGCGUAGAUAUAUGGAAGAACACCAG